AGCUAACAUCCAUGCCCAUCUUCCUCUACUUUGUACGUGGGAUGCCUGCCACAGCAGGGCUUGCUAAGUGGUGCACAGGUCCCGGCAUCGAUCCUGGCUGGUCAACCCCGGGCUGCCAAAGAGGAAUGUGCGAACUUGACCGCUGUACCACCAGGCGGCCCCAAGCCAUGCAUUUUUUUUAAUUGAGGUUUUUAUCGAGAUAAUUUUAGAUCCACAUUGCAGGUGUAAGAAUUAAUAAAGAAACAUCCUGGGAGCCCUAAUGCCAGCAGAGCUGGUCAAGUACCACCUCUUUUUAAGGUCUGAGAUCCACACUAUUGAUUUUAAGAAAUGAAAAGGGAGAGUUCCCAACCAAGAUGGCAACAUAGGCUCCUAGACUCACCUCCUCCCACGGACACACUGAAUCCGCAGCUACACAUGGAGCAAUUCCCUCUGAAAGAAAUACAGAAACUAGCUGAGCGACUCCCACACAUUGGGUGUUUGAUACGCACAUGGAAAUGGGUAGGAAAGGCUGAAACACACCCUCGUCCUAAUCAGCACUGGCAUAGUGCCACGCAAUCAGCGGGGAGCUCACAACUCCCGGCUUCUCCCUGAGGAGUGAAGGGUUGGACCGAACAUCUAGUGCCCUAACUUUUAAGACUUCCAUCUGAGGGAUGGGUCCUCCAAACACCUAGCUCAGAAAACCAGUGGGGCUUGCAUCCACAGGACCCAUGAGACUACACAGCAGACAGAGAAACAGUUCUCAGCACAGUGGGAGCAGAGGGAAAUGCCCUUCUCCCAGUCUUUCCCUGAAAGAGGCCUGUUGAUGCUUCAAAAGCUGCUAUGUAGGGGUGGGGCUUCUAAUUUAGUACACACACCUGGGGCUGACUGCGGUCCUUCCCGGAGCGGGGAGGCUGGAGAGGGCAGUCUCCCAGUUCUCCUCCAGCUAGCUCCGGAUUGCAGGUGUGUCCCUGGAAGGGACUAUUUCCAGAGAGAUGCCAGAUGGCCCUUCAGAAAGAACAUGAAAUGAAGCUAUCACUGACAUUAUUUCUACUUCCAAAAGUGUUCCUGAGAAGGGAAAUCUGAGAUAAGUGAUACGAAAACAAGCUUGUGAACUCAUUCGUUUUCAAUAUUUCUGAGCUCUUUAAAUGAAAGGAAGAGUAAUUUGAUUCUCUCA
This 1153-nucleotide long non-coding RNA is filed under the name Equus caballus (horse). RNAcentral's name for it is "lncRNA (ENSECAG00000052531.1)". Lineage: Eukaryota; Metazoa; Chordata; Mammalia; Perissodactyla; Equidae. The record is from RNAcentral.